CCUCCUUGAUGUAUUUUGUUUUUAAGAGGUAUCACGUUACUACAAUGAUCGAAUGAAUCAACAAAUGGUGACUAUAGCAGCACCAUUAACCCCCACAGUUGAAAGUGCUUUAACUGUGCCAACACCGUUGAAUAAUACUGGAGGAUGAAGCUGUUCUACAGCCAUUUAUCAACCUCAAGGCCACAAACUCACCGUAUGGGGUGAGUAACAAAAUAUCUACCUCCUCGACUGCACCACCGGAUGGUGAUUUAUCGGCACUAUGGCGGACAACAACUGAAGAACUGCUUUAAUUGAGCCGGCAGUGAACGGUGUGUGAUUACAGAAGAGCUGAGCUUUAAUAAAUUUAAGUGAAUUAUAUCAAAUUUGUUCAAACAAAAUGCUUAGAAUUCCUAUAAGCACAAGAUAUAAAAUCUUUAAAAACUACGGCUGGUUACAUACGUUUGCGUCAGCGCUUAAACUGUACUUGUCCCUCUGCAUUCACACCCUAUGUCUACACGGAAGUGUGUGUGUGUGUGUGAGAAAUAAUGAGCAGAAGAUAAAAAAUAAUUGUACGCUGAAACCUCAGCACUUUAAUUUAUUCCUUCUAUAUAGCCAAGAGUUAGACACAGUGCAGAGAGAGAGGUCUUUGAUUAUGAAGCUGUUAAAAACUAGAUCAUAAUGUAAACAACAGCUUGAACGUUUUCUUUCAUCAAAAACCGAAAUUGAUCCGUGAUUUGCAUACAACAACAGUUUGCUACAAAAUGCUUGGAGUGUGUGUUAGAGGCGUUUCCUGUAGGACUGCAGAGCUCCGUUUUUCUCACAGCUCGGCGUUCCCAAAGUGUGAGGAUUGGUAAUGUCAGAAGAGCUGCGGAGUCGGAAGGAAGCUUGAAUGAAAUGCUUUAAAAUCCUGCGACGAAAGGACACAUCGCAUCUCUCAUAAACCUUCAAACCUCAAUCAUUCCCCACCUUCCCCAUUUCCCUUCAGAGAUUUUUAAAGGUAAUAAAGUUUUACCAGUAUCUUAUUUGGAAAUUAUAAAGCGCAGUGUGACACAUGGGGGGAGAUUAUAUGGGCCAGGACAAAGGUUGAAGUAAAGCGGUCGCACACUUUAAGCUAUGAUAUUUUUUUAAAGGGUGGACAAAACUUCCUCCAAAAAUAAUCAGAGUAUAAAGGCAACAAAUUAGCAUCCUGAGUGGUUUUGCCGUGUUGUUCUGCAGGAUGCUGAUUUUUCAGUGGCAAUUGUUUGUUGGUUGUUCCCUCACAGAGUUGUUGAGGUUCCAAAUGCAAUUUGGCAAAUGCUCAAAAAGUCUUAAACUUCGUGUAAAGGGUUCACGUUUAUACUCUAUGUGAUUAACUGUGUCUAUUUAUUCGUCACUAAAUAUAAUUAUGCUGCCCAAGCUCAAAUUUCCACAAUCUUAAUGGAACCUCAAAGGUUUAUCCAUAUAUGUUUUCAUCAUUACUUUCUAGCCAGAGUAGGACUUGUUUAUUAACCUGUUGCCACCAGAAGCAUUAUUUAUUCUCUUCAUAUAGAACCAUUGCAACCAUCUUUUUUUUAAUUAUGGAAGUGAACAACAGCCACUGGAGGACAGAUUUUAAAAACUU
Molecule: long non-coding RNA, 1579 nt
Organism: Gasterosteus aculeatus aculeatus (three-spined stickleback)
Lineage: Eukaryota; Metazoa; Chordata; Actinopteri; Perciformes; Gasterosteidae
Source: Ensembl